This 398-nucleotide ribosomal RNA is filed under the name uncultured bacterium. RNAcentral's name for it is "bacterial SSU rRNA". It matches the Rfam family "Bacterial small subunit ribosomal RNA", at positions 976 to 1375 of the family's 1533-position model. The record is from RNAcentral.
AUCCCUUGACAUGGCAUGUUACCCGGAGAGAUUCGGGGUCCACUUCGGUGGCGUGCACACAGGUGCUGCAUGGCUGUCGUCAGCUCGUGUCGUGAGAUGUUGGGUUAAGUCCCGCAACGAGCGCAACCCACGUCCUUAGUUGCCAUCAUUCAGUUGGGCACUCUAGGGAGACUGCCGGUGAUAAGCCGCGAGGAAGGUGUGGAUGACGUCAAGUCCUCAUGGCCCUUACGGGAUGGGCUACACACGUGCUACAGUGGCAGUGACAGUGGGACGCGAAGGAGCGAUCUGGAGCAAAUCCCCAAAAACCGUCUCAGUUCAGAUUGCACUCUGCAACUCGAGUGCAUGAAGGCGGAAUCGCUAGUAAUCGUGGAUCAGCAUGCCACGGUGAAUACGUUCCC